RNAcentral lists this ribosomal RNA (452 nucleotides) under uncultured bacterium. RNAcentral's name for it is "bacterial SSU rRNA". It matches the Rfam family "Bacterial small subunit ribosomal RNA", at positions 29 to 517 of the family's 1533-position model. The record is from RNAcentral.
AGCGAACGCUAGCGGCGGGCCUAACACAUGCAAGUCGAGCGCAUACCUUCGGGUAUGAGCGGCGGACGGGUGAGUAACGCGUAGGUCAUCUACCCUUUGGUGGGGGAUAACCCAGGGAAACUUGGGCUAAUACCGCACGAGGUCUACGGAUCAAAGCCUUCGGGCGCCAGAGGAUGAGCCUGCGUCGCAUUACCUAGUUGGCGGGGUAACGGCCCACCAAGGGGACGAUGCGUAGCUGGUCUGAGAGGAUGAUCAGCCACACUGGGACUGAGACACGGCCCAGACUCCUACGGGAGGCAGCAGUGGGGAAUAUUGCGCAAUGGGGGAAACCCUGACGCAGCCACGCCGCGUGGGUGAUGAAGGCCUUCGGGUUGUAAAGCCCUGUCGGGAGGGACGGAAUUCUUGACGGUACCUCCAAAGAAAGACACCGGCUAACUCCGUGCCAGCAGCCG